AACGUAGGUGGCAAGCGUUAUCCGGAAUUACUGGGCGUAAAGGGUGUGCAGGCGGGGGUGCAAGUGGGGUAUUAAAUAUCCCAGCUUAACUGGGAGGGGUUAUGCCAGACUGCAACUCUAGAGGACGAGAGAGGGGGGUGGAAUUCCGGGUGUAGUGGUGAAAUGCGUAGAGAUCCGGAGGAACCCCAGAGGCGAAGGCGGCCCCCUGGCUCGUACCUGACGCUCAGCCACGAAAGCAUGGGGAGCGAACGGG
Molecule: ribosomal RNA, 253 nt
Filed under: uncultured bacterium
Lineage: Bacteria
Description: partial 16S ribosomal RNA
Rfam family: Bacterial small subunit ribosomal RNA
Source: RNAcentral